This 74-nucleotide small RNA is filed under the name Polaribacter atrinae. Its description in RNAcentral is "Flavo-1 RNA". It matches the Rfam family "Flavo-1 RNA". The record is from Rfam by way of RNAcentral. Lineage: Bacteria; Pseudomonadati; Bacteroidota; Flavobacteriia; Flavobacteriales; Flavobacteriaceae.
CUUUUGCGUUAGGGAUUGAAACGGCACCCUUUUUGCUUUUUUGCAAAAAGAUAUAGUGUAAAGCCCGUUUAAAC